RNAcentral lists this ribosomal RNA (253 nucleotides) under uncultured bacterium. RNAcentral describes it as "partial 16S ribosomal RNA". It matches the Rfam family "Bacterial small subunit ribosomal RNA", at positions 524 to 776 of the family's 1533-position model. The record is from RNAcentral.
AACGUAGGUGGCAAGCGUUAAUCGGAAUUACUGGGCGUAAAGCGUGCGCAGGCGGUUUUGUAAGUCUGAUGUGAAAUCCCCGGGCUCAACCUGGGAAUUGCAUUGGAGACUGCAAGGCUAGAAUCUGGCAGAGGGGGGUAGAAUUCCACGUGUAGCAGUGAAAUGCGUAGAGAUGUGGAGGAACACCGAUGGCGAAGGCAGCCCCCUGGGUCAAGAUUGACGCUCAUGCACGAAAGCGUGGGGAGCAAACAGG